GGCCUCCAAACGUCCAUUCUCAGUAAGCCAUAGUAUUUGUGUUUGACAUGCUGGUUUGUAAAAGUCUAGAAUAGAGACCCUGCAAAUUACAUUCAUUUACUGGAAAAAGAUAGAUGCAUCUAUUGUGAGCUCCUCGGUUCGUCUCGUGCCUCGCCCGCAAGAAGCCGGGCGAAACCUAGCCACCACCCACCACAGGUCCCUCACCUCAGCCACUCCACCCCCGUCGGCUGGCGUCGGCGGCGCCGGGGAUCUCUCUCCUCCUCUAGCCGCUGGUUACGAUGCGGGGCGUGGCUGCGCGAAGGGGACGUUGUGCUUGGCGCGGGGCACGGCUGUGGAGGCCGGCGUGCCGAGGUGCGUCGGGGCUGUGAUGGUUGCGCUGUGGCGGAGCAGGCACGCGGCGGUGAUGGGCCCGGCCCGGUAUUUACGUAGUCAAGUACAAUCGUGGAUGGAGUACACUGAUCACCCAGUAAUUGCCACCUGAUGCUUGCAUUAUUCCUGAAUUUACUUCAGAAUUUUCGGUAAUAUACUUUUAGUGUGAGGAGACGUUUUCGUCGGCGACGAGGUGCCUACGAUGACUUCGUAAAUCUCAAGAUGGUAUGCCGGCUCAAUCUCUCGAAGGUGUUCAUAGGGGUAAGGUAUGCGUGUGUGCGUUUAUACUGUUUAUAGGGGUGAAUGUAUGUGUGUUUAUAUCAACGCUUGCAUGUGUACUGUGUUUAAAAAAAAGUACACGAAGCACAACACUGAAGUUACAACUGCCAUACAUGAGAUGCAGUUUUCUGCCUGUCACCUAGUAGUCACCCAGGAUGAGAUGCGGUUUCUGCCUGACAGUUUGUCAACUAGCAUGAGAUUGUGGCCCUUCUUACAUGCUGGCCG
This 873-nucleotide long non-coding RNA is filed under the name Hordeum vulgare. RNAcentral describes it as "long non-coding RNA (HVUL_LNC008037)". Lineage: Eukaryota; Viridiplantae; Streptophyta; Magnoliopsida; Poales; Poaceae. The record is from RNAcentral.